This 4396-nucleotide ribosomal RNA is filed under the name Triticum aestivum (bread wheat). RNAcentral describes it as "partial small subunit ribosomal RNA". Lineage: Eukaryota; Viridiplantae; Streptophyta; Magnoliopsida; Poales; Poaceae. The record is from RNAcentral.
UACCUACACGUGGUAUAAGGGUAGGAGAAGGAGGAUGAGAACUCAAGCAAGACGCUUAGGCUGCUAGUCGAGUGUGCCCGUUUUGGUGAGUGGGUGCCGCUGUGUGAGUAUAGUCUCUCGCCCUUGAAGCGCGAGCCGAAGAAGAGGUGUUGGUCGAGGUUGUUCUCAAGAAUGGAACCGUAUACCAUGGUGUCGUAGGGACCAGGUGCGUGGCAGCACACCCAGCGGUUAGCUCUGUUGGGUUAGUGGUGGAGAAGUAGGCGCUACGAGAGGUAGUGGUGGUCAAGACUAGACCGCAACAGACUGAGGUUUCCGGUACGAUAAACCUCCCGAUGUUCGUCAUAGUGGUGUCCUCCCCGGCUUCGAAUGCGAAACGAUGAGUUGAGGCCCUUAAAGCAGGAGGCUAACGGUUUGAGGUGCCUACAUACUGUCUCGAAACUAGUAGGCUGUCUGUGUGAUGAAGGUUGCUACUUUGAAAAUAACUCGAUGUUCCGGGUACGGCAGCUCGCCGAGUAACGAACCUUCCCAGACCUACUGGGUAGGAGACCCCUAAAGAGUACGCCACCGCUGGGAUCGAGCGGCUGGGAAGUCUCCGAUUAAACCGUCCCCUGGUGCGGUAUAAGAGCGUCGUUACACCAAUUACCGCACAGCCACAGACCGCCGUGUAUGGAGUCGUUGCGGUCGAGGUAACACAUACUUUGUUUGUAGUUCGACCCGCUACUCAAGAUGAUAUACAAGUGACAGAGACUACCAAAUGGCAAGUGCGCAAACUGCGAACUGAUGUGUCCGUGCGACUUCAGAGAUUUAACCUUGUCGGUGAUUAGUAGUACCUGUCAGGACAAACUCUCCGGGUUUCGACGAACGCUGCAGAUACGGAGUACACCGGGUAAGUCGAUAACGCUGGAGUGACCAUGACAGGGCCGUACGUUUACGAAGGUACCCAAACUCGGACUUUUAGAAUUGAAAAGUUCGCCAACAGCCGCUUGUCUUCUGGACUUAACACCGUUCGUUUCAGUCAAGUAUUGAAAUUGACCCUACUUCCAGGGACUGUUCAAGAAUGUAAAGUUCUUGUCUUCGAAGCUACUCACACGGCGGCUCACGUCGUCGUUGACGAGUACAUGCCGCAUACGAAUGCGGUUAAACUCAUCACCACCACGAUUGCUACUGGGCUGUUCCACGAACCAAACAUGUCCCCUCGAAUAGCUGUGUCCUUUCAGUUGACUGAGACCGCUCUUGUACAUGGAAGCGGAACGACUCAGAGGACCAUACGUGACAGGGUAACGGAACACUUAUCGAUUUUUAAAUGUUCAAGGAGUAGAUUUAACAGUAUAUAAACGCUUGGCUUUCGCUCAUUCUACCUAAACUAUUUUUUGUCUUGUAAGGAAGGAAAAUUGUAGUAGAAUGUCUAUGUUUUCUAUACAAAGGGUUAAUGAUUCCAUUCGGUAUGUUGAAGGGGAGAAGUGAAAGUUCACGCAACUCUUAACAAAAAUCAGGUACAAAAUCGUUAAUAGGUUAUCUCUCUCAAUGAUAAAAAAGAGUGUAACUGUUACCGGCUAAUUGAUAACUCAAAACCUUAUUCGUAUAACGUUCUAGUUUAUGAUAAGAUCUACUAGUCUAGAAACUAAAUGGUGUUCGUGACCAUCAAUUCCGUGAGUUUAAUGACACCAUAUGCAUGAAUUAAUCGAACUGUCUAGGCUGUACCAUACGAACACGUUCACUUAGGACUUGAAGACCAACCAACGUAAAGAUGUCAACUGUUCUCAUCAAAUGAUUUCCAAAAUGAGGGUUAAUAUCGUAAUGAUAACAACGACUGUACGUAACGGGAGUAGACCUGAAUGUUUAAGUCUCCAUCUUAUUGUCUACAGGAGAGAAAAAACUGUAUGACAUACUUGUAAUUACGUUCUUAAUUCCCUUUUUUACCUACAGAAAUGGUCGUCCUUUUACCGCUUUCUUCCUUUUGGUCUUCAUUGAUUACGCUCUUAUGAAAUCGUGUAGGCUACUUGAGCUUCCGUCUUCAUGUCUUAAAGGUAAAUAAUCGAUGUUUCUCUAGGAAAGUCGUUGUUUAAAGAAGCGACUAAGUUUGAACGAACCUGCCCCUCCAAAACCGUUUCAAAUGUUCCCGUGUUACCUUCCACCUAUACUCCAACGACAGUUUUCCGAAUCGGUCCCAAGACCAGUUCCGUAACACCUCAAGUUUUUACUUCAUCAAGAUUAACGUUUUGACGUCGUGUUCUUGGACCAGUCUGAAGUACCCACAACGUAAGUCCUUCUACUCUUCAAUGACUAGAUGCUUAUGAAUGGAUUGUUUUCAAACCUACGGAAAUAAAAACCAUGCACAAUCAUACAACUAGAAUACAACGAAUUAAGAAUGUAAUCGGCCUCAAUAUGAGUACUACCGAUCUAAACAAAGUAUAAAAUAGUUCUACAACGUGCUUUUGUGUACGAACUAACCAGCUGCGCCAAGUUUUAUCAAUUUCCUUAUCGUUCUCCAGAAGAAAUAGAGGUAGUUCUAAGUUCUAAUUGUUAUUAAGUGUCUCUAGAGUUUCGUUCGUUGUAGAACAACCUGCGUUUUUACUGAGGGUUUUAAAGUCUAAAACCAUACCGUGCUUAUAAACCACGUUUGGUCUUAGUACGUUUGUGAUGAUCCCAACAGCCCUGUAUACCAAUGUACAGUGGACUUAUACGCUACCCUCCACGUAAAAGACAAUUUUGUCUGUGUAUAUCGAAACCACAAGAAGAGAACCUCUAACAAUCACCGGACUUCUAGUCAAGUGGAGACGAGUUUUGUUUAAAAACGUCGGAAUAUUGAAUACGCACCUCUGAUACCCUUCAACCUCUUCGUUGACUUGAUCACCUGAGAAGACAACAGCGCUUAACGAGUGAAGUACUUCAAGAUGCCACACAAGUACAGCCUGAGAACACACAAGUUCUGGUAGGGUUGCUAUCCGGCGAUUACAGUAGCCAAUACAAAUACAACCUCUUACUUUUGUGCGAAGAAGGUUGAGGUUUCGUUGGGCGAAUGAAACGAGAUUCAUUAGCACUUCCAGUUCUUCGUUGUCUAUUGUAUCUCUUGAGGUGUUUACGUUAAUCGUAGUGUCGGAACCUCCCAGCAAUUUACAACAUAUUGAAACGCACACGCCUAUAAUCAUAUGAGAGAAACACUUGAUUUGAAACGUAUACGGCCAACACAACUUAUGAGCUACAUUAAAAAUAAUAUAAACACUACGAAACAUUCGGAUGGGGUUGAACAAACCCUGAUUUCCGAAAAAACAACAACAACAACAUAAACACCACGAAACAUGAAGAAUACUUGGAAAUUUUAUCCUGCAGCUAUUGUUGGUUGGCAAGCCAGACCCUCGUGGGGUCUGGCUUGCAAAGCAAGCCCUACCUUCCCCAUAGCUAGCUUGUUUAACAAGCCCUUGUUGGACAAGCGCUCCUUUUGCGGGGUCGGGCUUGCGGGGUGGGUGGCCCGGGAUGUCCGGAAAAAGAACACUUUUCUUUUUGCUGUUUAUUUCGGGUACAUACUGAUCAUUUUUAGGGUCAAAAAGAUGCUGAUUAUUUGUGAUCAGAAAACGUGCUAUUUUAACGGUACCUGAAAACGGUAAGAUACUUUCUUUAACGGUACAAGUUCAAAUACAAAAUUUUUUACCGUGUUUUAUCCUUCUUCAGUACCGUUGGACGUAGAGAUGUCAUGCUUUUCAACGGUAGUGAUGCUUCAAAUGUUUUUUUACCCUUUUUCAACGGUACUUCACUAUCCCACUUUUGUAAAGAGAGAUCUGUGUAUCUUUUAAAAGUUUUUUUUACUUCUUUUGGAAAAUUCAACACUACUAUAGCAUGUACAUUAGGGGUACCGUUUUAUUUAAAGUUUCUUAGUUUUGAAAAACGGUACCUUUUCUGUUAAAACUUUCUUGUUUGAACAGCACAAGAGUUUGAUUAAACAUUACCGGUACUGUUUGAAGCCUACCUGUACCGUUUUUCUGUGUUACUUGGUACCGUUUUUUACGUAAAUCAACGGUACCUUUUUUGUGUAAAUAUUUGUUAUGACUAAAAUCAACGGUACCGUUUAAACGGUACAAAAACUUGUAGAAUCCAACGGUACAAAAAAUUGUAGUAAUCAACGGUAUCGUUCAAACGGUACAAAAACUUGUAGUAAUCAAACAGUACAAAAAUUGUAAAUUUUACGGUACCGUUCAAACGGUAUAAAGACUUGUAGAUGUUUCAAACUGUAUAAAAAUUUGUAUAUAUUGAAACGGUACCGUUCAAACGUACAAAAACUUGUACAAUUAAUUUCUUCAAACGGUACCGUUUUUACCAAAUAAAAAAACGGUACCGUUUUUACAUCAUGAAAACGGCACCUUUUUUUAAAUUUUUACAGUACCAAUGUGUUCAUAUAAAA